This 253-nucleotide ribosomal RNA is filed under the name uncultured bacterium. RNAcentral's name for it is "partial 16S ribosomal RNA". It matches the Rfam family "Bacterial small subunit ribosomal RNA", at positions 524 to 776 of the family's 1533-position model. The record is from RNAcentral.
UACGGGGGGGGCAAGCGUUGUCCGGAAUCAUUGGGCGUAAAGAGCGUGUAGGCGGCCAGAUAAGUCCGCUGUGAAAUCUCGAGGCUCAACUUCGAGCUGUCGGUGGAAACUGUCUGGCUAGAGUCCGGAAGAGGAGAAUGGAAUUCCUGGUGUAGCGGUGGAAUGCGCAGAUAUCAGGAGGAACACCUAAGGCGAAGGCAGCUCGCUGGAACGGUACUGACGCUGAGGCGCGAAAGCGUGGGGAGCAAACAGG